Molecule: long non-coding RNA, 720 nt
Organism: Harpia harpyja (harpy eagle)
Lineage: Eukaryota; Metazoa; Chordata; Aves; Accipitriformes; Accipitridae
Exons: 2
Source: RefSeq, a predicted model, not a curated record
UGGAUCCUUCCUAGUGUAGUCCUCAGCAGGUCUGAUCACCAAUGUGCACGGCAGGGUCUGUAUGCAUAACCAAAACCACAGUACAGCCGUGUAGUGUGUGUGCAUGUGAGGCUGUGUUUCUAGGAAGCCUCAUAUUGUAAGAGCUGGAAGACACCAAUCUAUUCUCUUAGGUGGAUGACAGUCAAGUGAGUGCAGCUACAGAGGAGGAAGGGAGAGGGAGACAGACAUGUCUGAACUGUCAAAUUCUCCCAGCAGCUCCAACAGCGGGAGCCUGCAGUGAAGACCAUGGUGACACAGGCUGUUCCCCUGCAGCCCACGGAGGUCCAUGGCAGAGCAGAUAUGCACCCUGCAGCCGAUGGAGGACCCCUCGCCAGAGCAGGCGGAUUCACCCGAAGGAGGCUGUGACGCUGUGGAGAGGAGCCCACGCUGGAGCAGGUUUUCUGGCAGGACCUGCGGCCCCAUGGGAGUGACACCACACUGGAACAGAAUAAGAGCACAAAGAAGGAAGGAGCAGCAGAGACAACUUGUGAUGAACUGACUGCAACCCCCCGCUCCUUCUCCCCCUGUGCUGCUCGGUAGGAGGAGGUAGAGAAGUCAGGAGUGAAGAUGAGCCCAGGAAAAAAAGAGAGGGGUGGGGGGAAGGUGUUUUUCAGAUUUGUUCGUAUUUCUCAUUAUUGUACUCUGAUUUUGACUGACAAUAAAUUAAUUUCCCCAAGUCGA